AGUUCGGACUGUAGGCUGAAACUCGCCUGCACGAAGCUGGAAUUGCUAGUAAUCGCGGAUCAGCAUGCCGCGGUGAAUGCGUUCCCGGGUCUUGUACACACCGCCCGUCACACCACGGAAGUUGGGGGCGCCCGAAGCCACUUAGCUAACCCAUUUGGGAAGCGAGUGUCGAAGGUGAAAUCAAUAACUGGGGUGAAGUCGUAACAAGGUACC
This 213-nucleotide ribosomal RNA is filed under the name uncultured bacterium. RNAcentral describes it as "partial 16S ribosomal RNA". It matches the Rfam family "Bacterial small subunit ribosomal RNA", at positions 1290 to 1500 of the family's 1533-position model. The record is from RNAcentral.